This 736-nucleotide long non-coding RNA is filed under the name Ananas comosus (pineapple). RNAcentral's name for it is "long non-coding RNA (ACOM_LNC039028)". Lineage: Eukaryota; Viridiplantae; Streptophyta; Magnoliopsida; Poales; Bromeliaceae. The record is from RNAcentral.
AUGAGAAAAAGUACUCGUUGCAAAGUAAUACUGUUAGGGCGCAACUGUGUAGUUUAAUGUUCUUACAGUUUUGCUUCUUGUGAACGUUGACAUCAAUUCGAUCGAAAUUUGCACUCUCGGGGCAUAAUAGAACAAUAUAAUUAGAUUUUACUCUUUGUUCGAUUAAAUGAGAAAAAGUACUUGUUGCAAUGUUAUGCUGUUAGGGCGCAACUGAGUAGUCUAAUGUUGUUCCGGUUUUGGUUCUUGUGAACGUUGACAUCGAUUCGUUCGAAAUUUACACUCUCGGGGCAUAAUAGAACAAGAUAAUUAGGUUUUACACUUUGUUCGAUUGAAUGAGAAAAAGUACUCGUUGCAAAGUUAUACUGUUAGGGCGCUACUUAAUAGUCUAAUGUUGUUCCGGUUUUGGUUCUUGUGAAUGCUGACAUCGUUUCGUUCCACUAUUACACUCUCGGGGCAUAAUAGAACAAUAUAAUUAGGUUUUUACUCUUUCUUUGUUUGAAUGAGAAAAAGUACUCGUUGCAAAAUUAUACUAUUUGGGCGCAACUGAGUAGUCUAAUGUUGUUCCGAUUUUGGUUCUUGUGAACGUUGACAUCGAUUCGUUCGAAAUUUACACUUUCGGGGCAAAAUAGAACAAUAUAAUUAGGUUUUACACUUUGUUUGAUUGAAUGAGAAGAAGCGCCCGUUUGCAAAGUUAUAAUUUAGAGGCGCAACACGAGUAGUCUAAUAUUGUUCCGGU